Molecule: ribosomal RNA, 492 nt
Filed under: uncultured bacterium
Lineage: Bacteria
Description: partial 16S ribosomal RNA
Rfam family: Bacterial small subunit ribosomal RNA
Source: RNAcentral
AGUGAACGCUGGCGGUAGGCCUAACACAUGCAAGUCGAACGGCAGCACGGUAAGAGCUUGCUCUUACGGGUGGCGAGUGGCGGACGGGUGAGGAAUACAUCGGAAUCUACUUUUUCGUGGGGGAUAACGUAGGGAAACUUACGCUAAUACCGCAUACGACCUACGGGUGAAAGCAAGGGAUCUUCGGACCUUGCGCGAUUGAAUGAGCCGAUGUCGGAUUAGCUAGUUGGCGGGGUAAAGGCCCACCAAGGCGACGAUCCGUAGCUGGUCUGAGAGGAUGAUCAGCCACACUGGAACUGAGACACGGUCCAGACUCCUACGGGAGGCAGCAGUGGGGAAUAUUGGACAAUGGGCGCAAGCCUGAUCCAGCCAUACCGCGUGGGUGAAGAAGGCCUUCGGGUUGUAAAGCCCUUUUGUUGGGAAAGAAAAGCAGCAGGUUAAUACCCCGCUGUUCUGACGGUACCCAAAGAAUAAGCACCGGCUAACUUCGUG